ACGCUCGACACCUACGGUAGGCAGCAGUGAGGAAUAUUGGUCAAUGGGCGCAGGCCUGAACCAGCCAAGUAGCGUGAAGGAUGACUGCCCUAUGGGUUGUAAACUUCUUUUAUAUGGGAAUAAAGUUUUCCACGUGUGGAAUUUUGUAUGUACCAUAUGAAUAAGGAUCGGCUAACUCCGUGCCUGCAGCCGCGGUAAUCUGAGCGGGCUGGCAAGGC
RNAcentral lists this ribosomal RNA (218 nucleotides) under uncultured bacterium. RNAcentral describes it as "partial 16S ribosomal RNA". It matches the Rfam family "Bacterial small subunit ribosomal RNA", at positions 326 to 539 of the family's 1533-position model. The record is from RNAcentral.